UGGGGAAUCUUGCACAAUGGGGGAAACCCUGAUGCAGCGACGCCGCGUGAGUGAUGAAGUCCUUCGGGAUGUAAAGCUCUUUCGACAGGAACGAUAAUGACGGUACCUGGAGAAGAAGCUGCGGCUAACUACGUGCCAGCAGCCGCGGUAAUACGUAGGCAGCAAGCGUUGUUCGGAAUUAUUGGGCGUAAAGAGUAUGUAGGCGGUUCACUAAGUCUGAUGUGAAAUCUCCUGGCUUAACUGGGAGGGUGCGUCGGAUACUGGUGGGCUCGAGUACGGGAGAGGGAAGCGGAAUUCCUGGUGUAGCGGUGAAAUGCGUAGAUAUCAGGAGGAACACCGGUGGUGUAGACGGCUUCCUGGACCGUAACUGACGCUGAGAUACGAAAGCGUGGGUAGCAAACAGG
Molecule: ribosomal RNA, 404 nt
Filed under: uncultured Candidatus Solibacter sp.
Lineage: Bacteria; Pseudomonadati; Acidobacteriota; Terriglobia; Bryobacterales; Solibacteraceae
Description: bacterial SSU rRNA
Rfam family: Bacterial small subunit ribosomal RNA
Source: RNAcentral